RNAcentral lists this ribosomal RNA (253 nucleotides) under uncultured bacterium. RNAcentral describes it as "partial 16S ribosomal RNA". It matches the Rfam family "Bacterial small subunit ribosomal RNA", at positions 524 to 776 of the family's 1533-position model. The record is from RNAcentral.
UACGAGGGGGGCGAGCGUUGUUCGGAAUUAUUGGGCGUAAAGGGUGCGUAGGCGGUUUGGUAAGUCUUGUGUGAAAUCUCCAGGCUCAACUUGGAGUCUGCACGAGAAACUGCCGGGCUUGAGUGUGGGAGAGGUGAGUGGAAUUCCUGGUGUAGCGGUGAAAUGCGUAGAUAUCAGGAGGAACACCUGUGGUGUAGACGGCUUUCUGGACCGUAGCUGACGCUGAGACACGAAAGCGUGGGUAGCAAACAGG